GAUGAACGCUGGCGGCGUGCCUAACACAUGCAAGUCGAGCGAACCCUUCGGGGUGAGCGGCGGACGGGUGAGUAAUGCGUGGGUAACCUGCCCUGUACACACGGAUAACAUACCGAAAGGUAUGCUAAUACGAGAUAAUAUAUUUUAAUCGCAUGGUUAAGAUAUCAAAGCUCCGGCGGUACAGGAUGGACCCGCGUCUGAUUAGCUAGUUGGUGAGGUAAUGGCUCACCAAGGCGACGAUCAGUAGCCGACCGGAGAGGGUGAUCGGCCACACUGGAGCUGAGACACAGUCCAGACUCCUACGGGAGGCAGCAGUGGGGAAUAUUGCACAAUGGGCGAAAGCCUGAUGCAGCAACGCCGCGUGAGCGAUGAAGGCCUUCGGGUCGUAAAGCUCUGUCCUCAAGGAAGAUAAUGACGGUACUUGAGGAGGAAGCCCCGGCUAACUACGUGCCAGCAGCCGCCGUAA
RNAcentral lists this ribosomal RNA (466 nucleotides) under uncultured bacterium. RNAcentral describes it as "partial 16S ribosomal RNA". It matches the Rfam family "Bacterial small subunit ribosomal RNA", at positions 28 to 523 of the family's 1533-position model. The record is from RNAcentral.